GAUGAACGCUAGCUACAGGCUUAACACAUGCAAGUCGAGGGGAAACGGCAUUGAGUGCUUGCACUCUUUGGACGCCGACCGGCGCACGGGUGAGUAACGCGUAUCCAACCUUCCCAUUACUGUGGGAUAACCUGCCGAAAGGCAGACUAAUACCGCAUAGUCUUCGAUGACGGCAUCAGAUUUGAAGUAAAGAUUUAUCGGUAAUGGAUGGGGAUGCGUCUGAUUAGCUUGUUGGCGGGGUAACGGCCCACCAAGGCUACGAUCAGUAGGGGUUCUGAGAGGAAGGUCCCCCACAUUGGAACUGAGACACGGUCCAAGCUCCUACGGGAGGCAGCAGUGAGGAAUAUUGGUCAAUGGACGGAAGUCUGAACCAGCCAAGUAGCGUGCAGGAUGACGGCCCUAUGGGUUGUAGACUGCUUUUGUAUGGGGAUAAAGUUAGGGACGUGUCCCUAUUUGCAGGUACCAUACG
This 469-nucleotide ribosomal RNA is filed under the name Prevotella melaninogenica. RNAcentral describes it as "bacterial SSU rRNA". It matches the Rfam family "Bacterial small subunit ribosomal RNA", at positions 28 to 484 of the family's 1533-position model. Lineage: Bacteria; Pseudomonadati; Bacteroidota; Bacteroidia; Bacteroidales; Prevotellaceae. The record is from RNAcentral.